RNAcentral lists this ribosomal RNA (443 nucleotides) under Rhizobium sp. PMB3(13). RNAcentral's name for it is "bacterial SSU rRNA". It matches the Rfam family "Bacterial small subunit ribosomal RNA", at positions 10 to 500 of the family's 1533-position model. The record is from RNAcentral. Lineage: Bacteria; Pseudomonadati; Pseudomonadota; Alphaproteobacteria; Hyphomicrobiales; Rhizobiaceae.
AGUUUGAUCCUGGCUCAGAACGAACGCUGGCGGCAGGCUUAACACAUGCAAGUCGAGCGCCCCGCAAGGGGAGCGGCAGACGGGUGAGUAACGCGUGGGAAUCUACCCAUCUCUACGGAACAACUCCGGGAAACUGGAGCUAAUACCGUAUACGUCCUUCGGGAGAAAGAUUUAUCGGAGAUGGAUGAGCCCGCGUUGGAUUAGCUAGUUGGUGGGGUAAUGGCCUACCAAGGCGACGAUCCAUAGCUGGUCUGAGAGGAUGAUCAGCCACACUGGGACUGAGACACGGCCCAGACUCCUACGGGAGGCAGCAGUGGGGAAUAUUGGACAAUGGGCGCAAGCCUGAUCCAGCCAUGCCGCGUGAGUGAUGAAGGCCCUAGGGUUGUAAAGCUCUUUCUAACGGUGAAGAUAAUGACGGUAACCGUAGAAGAAGCCCGCGAAUA